Molecule: ribosomal RNA, 265 nt
Filed under: uncultured archaeon
Lineage: Archaea
Description: partial 16S ribosomal RNA
Rfam family: Archaeal small subunit ribosomal RNA
Source: RNAcentral
ACACGACUACAUUAGAUACCCGCGUAGUCCUAGCCGUAAACGAUACUCGCUAGGUGUCGGCCACGGUGCGACCGUUGUCGGUGCCGUAGGGAAGCCGUGAAGCGAGCCACCUGGGAAGUACGGCCGCAAGGCUGAAACUUAAAGGAAUUGGCGGGGGAGCACCACGACGGGUGGAGCUUGCGGUUUAAUUGGAUUCAACGCCGGAAAUCUUACCGGGACCGACAGCAACAUGAAGGCCAGGCUGAAGACUUUGCCGGAUUAGCUG